CCUACGGGGGGCUGCAGUGGGGAAUAUUGGAUAAUGGGCGAAAGCCUGAUCCAGCCAUGCCGCGUGUGUGAAGAAGGCCUUCGGGUUGUAAAGCACUUUCAGUGGGGAAGAAAGCCUUGGGGCUAAUACCCUCGAGGAAGGACAUCACCCACAGAAGAAGCACCGGCUAACUCCGUGCCAGCAGCCGCGGUAAUACGGAGGGUGCGAGCGUUAAUCGGAAUUACUGGGCGUAAAGCGCGCGUAGGCGGUCUGAUAAGCCGGUUGUGAAAGCCCCGGGCUCAACCUGGGAACGGCAUCCGGAACUGUCAGGCUAGAGUGCAGGAGAGGAAGGUAGAAUUCCCGGUGUAGCGGUGAAAUGCGUAGAGAUCGGGAGGAAUACCAGUGGCGAAGGCGGCCUUCUGGACUGACACUGACGCUGAGGUGCGAAAGCGUGGGUAGCAAACAGGAUUAGAUACCCCGGUAGUC
This 465-nucleotide ribosomal RNA is filed under the name Vreelandella stevensii. RNAcentral describes it as "partial 16S ribosomal RNA". It matches the Rfam family "Bacterial small subunit ribosomal RNA", at positions 338 to 795 of the family's 1533-position model. The record is from RNAcentral. Lineage: Bacteria; Pseudomonadati; Pseudomonadota; Gammaproteobacteria; Oceanospirillales; Halomonadaceae.